Molecule: long non-coding RNA, 707 nt
Organism: Hippocampus comes (tiger tail seahorse)
Lineage: Eukaryota; Metazoa; Chordata; Actinopteri; Syngnathiformes; Syngnathidae
Exons: 3
Source: RefSeq, a predicted model, not a curated record
AAGAGUGAGCACCGGGACAAAUACGAAUCCGGUUUUCCCUCCGCCAUUAUUUGAAAGACGAAAACGAAGCUUCCGACACCUGGUUGCAACUUACCCGGGAUAAUUGCCGUUACAGUUAGCGUCUUAGGUACCGUCCGAGCGCUGACAGGGCCCAAACGAAGUAACAGUUUGACUCAGCAGGCUGGAAAACCAGACCACAGGCUAAGGUAGGCUGUCACUUGCUUCAAAAAGUACAUUGGCUCCCAGUGUUAUCGUGGUGGGGAAAUUUUCAUUGUACAUUGACAUCUUCUUUGAUGACAAAAAUGUGUCCUUGAGCUUCAUGGAUGAUUUAAUCAUUUCAGAUGAUCACAAACACACAUUUGUUAACUUCUUUGAAGACUUAUUGUUUGCCCUCCUUUUACAACAUGUUGCUUUCCUGUUUCCCGAAUUAUAUCCAUGAGAUUCAUUCAAAUUGUGUUGCAUGUUUACAAAAACGUGUACUUAUGUUAGAUUACAGACGAUAUUGAUAGAGACCCUAGCUUAGAUGAAUUGAAAACUCAAAAUUGCCCUUUCUAUGAAUGAAGACAUCAACAUUAGCUUGAUCGAAGACUCAAAACAUUCUUCGCUGUGUAGAAACCAUGUAGACUACGUUGGGUUCAUUGAAGACUCAAUAUUUUUUGUUUGGGAAAACAUACAUUUAUGGCAUUAUAGGCUCUAAAUAUUCACCG